CCUACGGGUGGCAGCAGUGGGGAAUAUUGCACAAUGGGGGAAACCCUGAUGCAGCGACGCCGCGUGAGUGAAGAAGGAAUUCUUUAUGGAAAGCUCUAUCAGCAGGGAAGAAAAUGACGGUACCUGAGUAAGAAGCCCCGUCUAACUACGUGCCAGCCGCCGAGGUAAUACGUAGGGGGCAAGCGUGAUCCGGAUUUACUGGGUGUAAGGGGGGCGUAGACGGCCGUGGAAGUCUGGCUUGAAAGGCGGGGGCUCAACCCUCGGAUUGCUCUGGAAACUGUACGGCUGGAGUGUAGGAGAGGUAAGUGGAAUUCCUGGUGUAGCGGUGAAAUGCGUAGAUAUCAGGAGGAACACCAGUGGCGAAGGCGGCUUACUGGACUGUAACUGACGUUGAGGCUCGAAAGCGUGGGGAGCAAACAGGAUUAGAUACCCUAGUAGUC
RNAcentral lists this ribosomal RNA (440 nucleotides) under uncultured bacterium. Its description in RNAcentral is "partial 16S ribosomal RNA". It matches the Rfam family "Bacterial small subunit ribosomal RNA", at positions 338 to 795 of the family's 1533-position model. The record is from RNAcentral.